GCACCAACACAAGUGACUAUGAUUUUGAGUGAGCGGAUCUCUUCAUACUUAUAUUAUGUACCCUUUUAAACUCGGCCCAACACUAAGUAGAAACUUAUCUGUCACAGAUCCUAUGAAGGUUUAAACAAUGUGCUACACACUGCAUGAGAGCAGGACGUUCCUUCAGGAUGUGUUCUGCAGGUCUGACAGUGGAGCAUCAGCUGGAGAAAAAAGUUUGUUCUUACCAAUUUCACAUCUACUGGUUAAUUGUUUUUGAAAACAAAACUCAGAUCAGUUGCUAGUGAAGUUACUACAAGAACAAGAAGAGCACCACAAUGCACACACAAAUGAUUGUCAAAUUUGAUGGUCCAAAAGGAAGCACAAGAAACCAACAGAGAACUCACAUAGGCUCUGCAAAAUAAACAGUAUUUGCCAUCCUGCCUUACAGUUAAUAAGCAAUCAGUGGUGCCUCCCAAGCAUCUUGUCAUUAUAACACUUCUGAGCACAGGAUUGCUCCUGUUUUUGCCAUGCAAAGAAAUUAUCUUAAAGGAUGGCUGCUAUUUUUAGAUGCAGCACUGGAAAUUGAGCAAGUCAUCUCUGAACCGUGAGCUCAUAUACCUUAAUGGAGGUGAAGAUGUCUGGGAUUAGACUCUAUUUGCAGUGUAUUGUCAAUUAAAAAAGGUCAUUUAAGGAGUUCUUAAACUGCCUCUUCAUUUACUUGAAUUACAACCUUGAGAAUAGAUUAUAUAGUACUGCAUACCCACAAAAAAAGCUGUUUGCUUCAUUAGAUCCACUGUUUAUUUUUAAUUAAAAUACUUGACCUUUUCUUCCUCUGCCAUUCCUAACCCCUAAGGUACAUCCAGGAAUUCUUCUCCUGCCAGUAUUCCAGGGAGAU
Molecule: non-coding RNA, 874 nt
Organism: Meleagris gallopavo (turkey)
Lineage: Eukaryota; Metazoa; Chordata; Aves; Galliformes; Phasianidae
Source: RefSeq, a predicted model, not a curated record